This 105-nucleotide small RNA is filed under the name Marmota monax (woodchuck). Lineage: Eukaryota; Metazoa; Chordata; Mammalia; Rodentia; Sciuridae. The record is from RNAcentral.
GCCAGGUGCAGUGGUGCACACCUGUAAUCCCAGUGGCUCAGGAGGCUGAGGCAGGAGGAUUAGCAAAAGUGAGGCAUUAAGCAACUUAGUGAGACCCAGUCUCUA